Anas platyrhynchos (mallard) is the source of this 3357-nucleotide non-coding RNA. The record is from RefSeq and is a predicted model, not a curated record. NCBI's taxonomy places the organism in Eukaryota, Metazoa, Chordata, Aves, Anseriformes, Anatidae.
GCUGCAGAGGUGGGAUGGCUUUAAUGAUUGGUUGGCACAGAACGGCGCUUAUCUCUUUAAGAAAUGGAAAUGAGGUCUAAUUAGCAUAUACUGGUUGCAAUUAGCAUAUAAGUCCCGUUCAGGGACUUGGAGGAAGGAAAAGGACCAAGCAGCAACUUAAUGGGAUUUUAUUAGACAAAAUUAGCCACCGCUGAACAGUCAUAAAAAUAUCUAAAUUAUUAGUAGCUCGGCAAUUUAUCCUCCUCGCUCGGUGUUUGAAGAAAGAAGUAGUUCCUGCGAGCCUCGUCUACUGAACCAAAGUGGGACUUCUGUGCUGGGUCCAGCAGAAACUUAUCUAACUAGUAGGUGCGGGUGCUGUGGCACUGCGAGUGGGAUGGCACCAAGGAUUCUCCUCCUUAGCUUUUUAUGAAGCAGUGUGGAAGUGUCCCAAACAUCGCAAGGGGCAGCUUGAGUUCUUGAUACAUGUCCAUGGCUGUGUUUACUGAAAGCAGGACCAAAGGACAACCAGGGAAACACAGUAAUGCGCUCCUUAGGGGUCAGGUUCCUAGUGUUUAUUUAUAAGUGGUGCAUUUUGUUACGUUAUAUAUGUGCGUAACUCUAUAUAAAAGGUCAGGUUUGUCUUAGCUUGGCAGAAGAAUUGUAGAGGCUAAUUUAACAUAAGAUUAGAAAAAGAAAAAAAUAAAACAGAUAAAAGUAAUCUUAAAUGGUUGGUAUAGCCCACCCUGCUGCCCAUUUUGGAACAGGAUUUUGAACAACUUCUACAUUUCAUCUGUUUGAUAUGUUCACAGCACGGUGAGUGUCUCUGAAAUGUUGACUGUGGUGCCUGAUGAGGAGCCCAAUUUACAUAUUCUCAAUUUAAUCUAAAGUAGGUGCUAAUUGAUUACUGCUGAAUGUCAGCACGCUCUGAUUAUCUGUUCAAGAUGCUCUGGAAAAAGAAAAAAAAUCUACAACCCGGAGCUGCAAGUACAAAGAGGGGGGUUGAAUUCAGUACACCAUGGAAAGACUGUUUACUCUUUUACCUGAUAUUACAUAAAGGUUUUAAUUAUCCAGGCCAGAAGCUGUUGAGUGACUACUGCUUUGCCAUGUCCUUCCACAGCAGGUCUUACAUCUCCCCUAGAUGGAACAACCCAAAUUGCUUAGAGCCUGGUGAAAGCACUGCUGCAUCCCUAAGUCCAGCAAAGUCGGCUCUGAUCCUGUCUGCAGCUGCCCCUAGCUCUCCCUCAUAGCAGGUUUUUGCAUCCUGUCUCUGCCUUACAACCCACUCCUGUUGGUGUCCCCAGCUCCUUGUCACACUGCCAUACUUCCAUGGUGCCCAGGUGUAGGUAUGGGGACCUGCUUCCACCUUGCCCCUGGCCAAGCCAUCGGGGCUGUUUUUUCCCCAGGGACAUGAGGCACAGAUGUGCCUGGGAUGGUGUUGUUCCUGUCCCUGCUCAGCUCGAGUCAUCAGGAGAAGAUGAGCCAUUCCUCACCAGGAGGGACACCUCCACCAGGUCGCAGCCUUUGGUCCUGCUCUCCCGUUGUGCUCAGAAGCACAAACCCCGUGGCUGAUGGAGCUGGGAGAGCAGGGAGAAGAGCAGAGCUGAGGGCUCGGUAGUGACUCUCCCCUACUCUCCCCAUCCUCAUCUCCAUGCCUGCUCCCCUGGGUGACCUGCCUGAGUCUGGAGACUGCAUCUUUGGAGGGACCCCAGAGAAGGAAGCCCGUAGCCCUGGGCACAGAAUGGCUCCGUGGGCUGGGGAAAGCCCCAUGCCUCCUCUGUGCUCCCAGCCAUGAGGAGUUUGCUGCGAGGGUGGUGAAAAUGAGUUGCUUUGCACCGGUAGAUCUACUGAAUAUGCAAUGAACAAUCCCGCAGCAGCCAGGAGCCCCAGCCAAGACGGAAGAUGAGACGGUGAGCUGGGAAACAAAGGUGAAGGGGAGAGGCAAUGAAAGCACAGCGCUCCGUACAAUAGCUAAAAUACAAAUCUCCGGGGACUUCGAGAUAUUGCAUGAACAUCAAUUUCGCAUGCCUAUUGUCUGAGUGGUAUUAGUGUGUGUAGGACUCCCCGCCCCCGUCUCUCCGAGCGAGGGGAGCAUCGUGGCAGAUCAGGAAAUGGCGUAAUUGAAUCAGCUCCACCACACGACGAGGUUGCAGACCAGACGGGACGAGGCACUGAAAUGGCCAGGUAUCACGAGCACCUUGGCAUCCCCCCACCCCUAAAUUACUUCUGCGAGUAAAGGAUGCGGGAUGUAAACUGCAGCGGGAGACAGUCUGGUCGUGGGUUUCAUUAGUGGUCCCUUUUGCCAUCUGUGAGACUUCAUGGCUAAGGAGCCGGAUGAAAGAGCUUUCUAGAAAAUUCUUCAGAGGAAAUACAGCUCAAAAAUGCGAGUCAUGCUUAGGCUGUUUAUGGAGAGUUUAUUUUGUGCUUAGGAGUAAAACAAAAUGCCAGUCGCUCACAGCUGUUGGCACGGUGAGAUAACACAAGUCAGAGCACACAGCCGCAGGUUGGAGGGGUACUCUUCCCAUCCCUCGCUCCCCUUUCGCCCCGACAUAAAAGUUGACAAUUAGUUUUUACUGCACAUACAUGAAGGGAGAUACAUGCUUUGGCCUCUGUGUGAGAGCAAUAAUUCUCUUAAAUUGAUGUGUCAGCGAACUAAAACUCAAUAUUUUUUUCGCACAGUGUAUUUUGCAGUCAGAGGACCUUCACUAAUCGGAAUAAAGCAAUUUGGCUCCCUGUCAUUGCUCACUGAAAACAUAUGAGCUGGUUGGCACGUAUGGCCUCCCAGAUUUAUCAGUGUCUCCCAUCUAGUGCAUGGGAGGUUCAGGGCUGCAGCUCAGAGAGGAGUGAAUUUUUAUGAAUGCUUUUUUCCCCUCCCUGAGAAUUCCCAGAGCUAGAUUUAUUCCUCAGUUUCAGAAAUGUUUUAUUUAUUGUCCGUAUCCCAUAUCCUCUUUAGGUCAAAUCGAAGUCAUAUUUUACAUUUUUGAUUUGUAUUGCUAUGUCUUUAUUGCUUUGCUCAUUUAAAAAGAAAAAAAAAAAAAAAAAAAAAACACAGCCCCAAAUCUGGGAGAAGUACUAUUCCCAUGGCUCUCCUUUUCUUUAGUACCACGAUAUGAACACACUCAGCUGUCCUUUCAGUGGGACCCUCAUAAAAAUGUCUUGCUGCAUCUUCCAUCAGGUUCACCAAGGGCCAGCUUUGGUGCCGUGUCUUUGUCACACUGCCUUUGAGGAAGCCCUCACCUUGCUCCCAGCUGUCCUGGUGCAGCUUACAGCAGUGCUCUGCCAGGACAGGUGGGAUACCCGUGUUUUAACAACCAGCCUGUGCAGCCUGAUGGCACCAAAAUGUGCCCUUUUCCUCACCCUCCCUGGCCAUGUACGCCGCCU